Molecule: long non-coding RNA, 2290 nt
Filed under: Paramuricea clavata
Lineage: Eukaryota; Metazoa; Cnidaria; Anthozoa; Malacalcyonacea; Plexauridae
Source: RNAcentral
UGACAAUAGAAAAUUAUAUUGGGAAGUUGUCAUUUCUACAGUAAAAACAGCUUUUUUUCAAGUAGUACGAAUUGUGACUUCGAUUUAUCUGUGGAACUAUUUGAACAGAAGGUAAAGCAGUAAUUUUGUUGUAUUUAGAAAGCAAACAGAGUCAUAUUUUUAAAAAUAUAGCGCACUGAAUAUAAAUUUGAGCAUCAUUAAAAUGUGUUCGCUAUGAUGCCAUUUUGUCUCCGGUAUAUACGGAGUUCUGCUUUUAUACUUGUGGAUAUUCGAAUUUAUUUGGCUCAAAAACACCAUUACUUCAAUAUCCCUUUCUUGUUUUUCCUUGGAUAGGUUUUAACAAGAUAGAACUCUAGAUCCCUUGGGUCCAAAGACGCUAGAUUAUAAAAUCCUGAUGUGACUGAUACUACAAAUAGAAUAUGUCUUAUGAUUUAAUACUACAAAUAAAAUGUCUUUUAAGUACAAACUUCAAUGAAUUGAUAAAGUGUAAGGAUAGUGUUUAAAGUUGCUUCAUGUGUAGAAGCUGAAUUACUUUAGUUUAUACACUGUAUAUUGUCGAGAUCACAUGUUGAUAUGACUUAAUACCAGCAACUUGCAAUAAGUGGUCUGUUCUGCUUGUUUAUAAUACUUUAGAGUUUGGACAUUAGAACAUUGUAAUUGCCUGACAGAGACUGUUAGGGCCUGUUUGUAUGGAAGCCGGGCUGGCCCGCUUAGCAAGACAGCCCGGUAAGGUAGGUAAGCAGGAUGAUUUCUCUUGUGUUUAUUUGAGAAAAUUUCAUUCCGCUUACCGGGACAAUUUUGUUGUUUUGACAUUAUUUUGACAGUUGUUAAAAAUAGCUUGCGGCAGUAUCUUUGAACUUUCAUCCCGGCAACCGGGCUAGCCUGCUUAUGAUUGUUUAUGUGGAGAAAUUUCCAUCCUGGUCUUGGCAACCGGGCCUGCCCGCUUGUCCAUAGAAAUGAUAAUUUGUACUAUAAAAAUAACUAGACAGCGAGAUCUCACUUACCGGGCUGUCUCACUUAGCGGGCCAGCCAGUUUCAAUAUAAACAGGCCCUUACACAACUGCUAAAAGCUGCAAGUUUCUUUAAAGCAAUAUCAUCUAUAUCACAGAAUACAGUUUCUGUAGUGACAUACUUGUGUUUUUUCUGUCUUUAAAGUGUCUUAUGUUUGUAAUAUUUUUGUACAAUACCUUUUUGAAAUUGUUGAUACUGGUCUCAUUGUAACUCAGUAGUCUCAGUUAUUCCUUCUCAAGAAAAAUACAAAAACAAAGCUGUGUGGGUGUGUUUUUGCUCUAGCUAGUUUUUACAUUUACAUGGUUCAUGUACAAUUAAUGUACAUUUAAAUUAGCUUUGUUCAAUGAAUACAGGUGUGAUUCAAAUAUCAUUCCUGUCAGGUACUUGGGUCAAAUAGACAUAAGCAUACUAAAUCAUGCUGUGAAUUGAAAUACAAGUAUAGGGUGUAUAUUGUUUAAUAAAUAUAUUUUCCAGUUAACCCAGUAAGCUGCAUUGUGCCCCAAUGCACCCUACUUUACUAGUUUAUUUCACUUCAUCUAAUGCCAGAUGAUUUUACUUAUCGAGGGAGAGUGCUGCUGCUCAUUGAGCUCUGAUUGAGUUCACUGAGUGGCAGCACUUUCCCCUUGACGAGUGAAAUUGUCUGGCGUUAGACAGAGUAAAAUAAUCUUGCGUUCAAUCAAUCAGCUACUUUUUCAAAAGCUCAACCAGGUUAAAGAUUCUUUGAUUUGAAAACCAAAGUGAUAGUGAACUAGUUAGUUGAAACAAACAGAAUUGUUUGAUUUAUUUACUUUCCACAACAUUGACAAUUAAAAUUUAAUUUGAUACUUUUCCAGUAUAUUGACAUUAUAUAGGUUCAAAUCAUAUUGACAUUAUAUAGGUUCAGAUUUGACCACGAUUACCAUUAAGGGACCAUCAACCAAUCAAAUGCAUAUGAUAUAUUUGAUCAACCAUUAUAAUGAAAGUGUGAGUUUAUUCAUAAACUAAUUAUAAAUCAACUUCCAUGCAAUGCUUCAUGCAAUCAUCUAGCUAUGCACCAGUCAAUGUAAAUCCCUGCCCCCAACCGGGGAGGGGUGGAAGUUUAACAGGGAAAGUGGUCAGUUUUGAUUAUAAAUUUGUCCCCGAUGAUGGGAGACUUGGACAGUGGUUAACAUAUAUAUCCUGUGUUGCUGUUUUAGUUUUCUUGACAAGAAAAGUUUAAAUACAACAACAUAAAUGAAUUUGAUUUUCUAUUGCUGAUCUUUUCUAUUCUAUUCUAUGAUUAUACAAAACUAUUUUCCUG